GUAAUCGGAUUCAACUAGCAAUAGUAUCGAUCCUACGAGCAAGCAUAUAAGGCAUGUGAGUAUUGCCUCCCACGUAAAAUUCAGAGUGUUGCACCACAACAAAAUGGGCAUUGGGGUGCCCAAAUAUAUGCCGACAGCUAUGUAUAGCUUGGUACCUUCAAAACCGAGAAGGAAGCAACUAUGACUUAUGAUAGUGCAUCAAUCAGGUUUCAUAGUGCAGGCUUCCACAGAAAUUAUGCUUGGACAAAUAUAACUAUUAAAGAAUCCAAUUUUUAAAGCCAUUCUAGUAUUGAAGUGGUGCUAAACAUGAUUAUGAACGGUCCCAAUGAAUCAAAAUUUGCAUAUUUCUUGAAAAAUUGUUCCAAAUAUGUGCCAAGAAAUGUUGGUUUCAGUCUAAUGAAGGCUUAUGGCAAUGGAUGGCUUAUGUGUCAGCAACUAUUCCAGAAGGAGCUAACAGCAAGUGAUAUGGUUUUCUAUAAUAGGUUGAUAAGGCUAUGGAAAUUUCGGUAUUGCUAUUGGAAAAGCAGUUAGAGCUUUGUUUUCACAAGGGGUUGGAAAUGGUUUGUGAAGGAAAACCAAUUGAAGACCAAUGAUAUUAUUGCUUUCUAUUCAUACAAAUACGUAGAGAAGACUCAGGUGACUAAGAUGUUCCAAAUAUUUGAUGUAAACAAGGUCAAUCGUUGUGACACUUUAAUGCAGAUGUUUGGCCAUCAUGUUGACGUAGAAAUAGAUUAGAUCCUUGAAUCAAACAGUCAUGUUGAUGAGGAUGAAAAUGAGGCGCUUGGUCUCGAGCACAAUGCUAUUGAACUUUUUGGUGUAGAAAUCUUCGGAGGUAGAUAUUCUUCGUCUGGAAAUGGCUCUAUAUUUUCAUUUGAGCUGUGCUAUGGAAUUCUCUAUUUUUUUUCAUUUUGUUUCCAGGUUAAAGCUAUAGAUUCUUUAUCAAUAAAAUCAUAUUUUGUUAGGGGUGGACACAAUCCAAGUUGGCCCAGGUUCAAAUUGUUGUUCGAUUUGAACAAAUUGAAUCCAAGUAAAGGUUUUAGCUUGUUAAGUUAGAUUUGAAAUCAAUAUCUUAUCA
This is a long non-coding RNA of Mangifera indica (mango), 1075 nucleotides long. RefSeq lists it as uncharacterized. The record is from RefSeq and is a predicted model, not a curated record. Lineage: Eukaryota; Viridiplantae; Streptophyta; Magnoliopsida; Sapindales; Anacardiaceae. The transcript is spliced from 2 exons.